UUCCCUGUAGCUCCGUUGGUAGAGCAUGGUGUUUGCAACGCCAGGGUUGUGGGUUCAUUUCCCACGGGGGGCA
This 73-nucleotide transfer RNA is filed under the name Salmo salar (Atlantic salmon). It matches the Rfam family "tRNA". From Rfam's summary of the family: Transfer RNA (tRNA) molecules are approximately 80 nucleotides in length. The record is from Rfam by way of RNAcentral. Lineage: Eukaryota; Metazoa; Chordata; Actinopteri; Salmoniformes; Salmonidae.